UACGGAGGAUCCAAGCGUUAUCCGGAAUCAUUGGGUUUAAAGGGUCCGUAGGCGGUUUUUUAAGUCAGAGGUGAAAUCCUGCAGCUCAACUGUAGAAUUGCCUUUGAUACUGAAAGACUUGAGUUAUUGUGAAGUGGUUAGAAUGUGUGGUGUAGCGGUGAAAUGCAUAGAUAUCACACAGAAUACCAAUUGCGAAGGCAGAUCACUAACAAUAUACUGACGCUCAGGGACGAAAGCGUGGGUAGCGAACAGG
RNAcentral lists this ribosomal RNA (253 nucleotides) under uncultured bacterium. RNAcentral describes it as "partial 16S ribosomal RNA". It matches the Rfam family "Bacterial small subunit ribosomal RNA", at positions 524 to 776 of the family's 1533-position model. The record is from RNAcentral.